UUUUACUUUAAAUUAAAAUUUUGAAAUUACUUAUAAAAUAUAAAUGUAAUAAAAGAAAAAGGUUUUUCUAGGAAGAUGAAAAUGUAGCUAAUUAGGAAAUCUUUUUACCGUUGAUGAGGAAUAUUAAGGGUCCAUUUCUCAUAAGAGCAUCCCAAACGUGUUUUUCCCACCAUUCUUUUCUUCACCCAGCUGACCCACAAUGAAUUCUGCGAUUCUCUUCUAUUCUUCUGUAGAUUUAGUUUCAUUGUUGUUACUUUCUUGUUUAUGUCGAGGAAAUGGGUUUAUUCUCAAGCAUUUGACAAAAAUCUAUAGCUUAUCGCAGCAGUCAUAGGAAGAAGAGAAGAAAACAGUAACUCUCUUCUAUGGGUGAAAGAAAAUUUGCAAGAGUCAUGGUCCUCUCUACCAUUCUCCCGAUCCCUCCUCUCCUUUCUCCGCCGAGAUGUCCACUACCACCGUCACAACCGUUCCUCGUCGGUCCAUUUUCCUCGGAGUCGACGUCGGUACAUGAAGCGCACACUCUGGUUUAUUGGAUGAGAACGGGAAACUCUUAGGGAUGUCUAGUAGUCGAAUUCAAAUUUGGAAAGAACGUGACUGUUGAGGUUAUGAGCUUAUACUAUUUUUUUAAUUAUUCAUAUAAAAUAAAUUAAAUUUAGCUUCAUUUGAUAAAAAAUUAUAGUUGUUUUUGUUUUUUAAAUUCUAGCAGCAAUAGUCAACAGAUAUAUGGCAUGAAAUAUGUGCAGCUAUGUAGUCAGCAUGCUCACUUGCAAAUGUUUCUGGUCAAGAAGUUACUGCCAUUGGUUUUGCUGCUACUUGUUCUCUUGGUUUGUCAUAUUUAUUUUACCUUGUUUGGAUAGUGGAAUUCUGUUUUAGUGAUAUUUUCAUGUUUGGUAACCUUAUAGUUGAUAGAAUUCAAUUCUUUCAAUUUAAUAAAAUAAAAACAAGUAUUCUGGAAGUAACGAAAUCAUGCCAAAAAUAACAUGAUUGUACAAGAAUUGAUCUCAUUUGUUCUACAUUAAAUUCCUGAAUUGUCUUUUUGGUAGAAAUUGUGGCUAUACUGCCUUUUGUAUAUUCAAUUUUUAUUUCAUUUUAAACAAGGUUGCUUUAUUUUUUUGAAAAAAAAAACUCUUUAGUGGUUGUUGAUGCUGAUGGAGCACCAGUAUCAGUUUCAUGGAGUGGGGAUUCAAGAAGAAAUAUUAUAGUUUGGAUGGAUCAUAGAGCUGUUAAACAAGGUGAGAAGAUUAAUUCUUCUAAUUUACUAGUAUUACAGUACUGUGGUGGCGCCCUUUCUCCUGAAAUGCAGCCUCCAAAGAGCAAUGGGAGAUGAUACUCGUAGUCUAUGUACCACAAUAUGCAAAUGGACAUAUCUUGGGCAUGCACAUAUGCAGCAAAUGAAUGAAAAAGAUUAUGGAGAUAUGGAAGCUUGUGGAUGGGACGAUGACUUUUGGGAAGAGAUUGGCUUGGGUGAUCUUAUAGAUGGUCAUCAUGCUAAGAUUGGUUCUUUUCUGGAGGAAGCGUUGCUCUUAUUUUCUUGCUACCGCAUGAAACUUGUGCAUCUUUAUGCUAAUUGUUUAUUCAAUGCCUAAGGCUGCCCUAUUGUACAACCACGAGAAAGUGAGUCUGUGCUAUUGGGUUGGUGCUGUUACCGUAAAAAAAAUAUGAUAGUCUCACUGAGGCCAUGAGGGCCCUGAAUGCAGCCGGUCAGGUAUGCAUGAGCUCUUGCUUCUGAAUUUUCAGUUCAAUUCAUAACUUUUAUGACAUAUAACUAGGUACAAAACAAUAAAUGAUUAGAGGAGAGGUUUUAAGUGAGUGCAAAACAUAAUGUAGCUUUUCUUUUAUGCAUUCUGUUUUUGCUGGAAUUCCUAUUAGUCAUUAUUUUCUCUUGGUUCAUCUGAUUACUCUCACCUUCCUCCACCUCUCUAAGAAAAGAAAAAAGAGAAAAACAGACAAAAAGAAUUUGAAAGAAGUACUACUUCAAUAACGUUGACCUGCAAAGCAAUUAUGCUAAGGAAUUUUAUAGAUAAAUAGUGAAUAUAUAAAUCUAAAGGCCCUUGCUUAAGAUUGGGGCUUGAAGUUGAUGGUAGAAUUCAGAAACACAUGGCAGACUUUACCUCAUUGCUCCUUCAAAAUUUUGGUGUUUCUGUGUAUCAUUAUAGAGAAGAAGUUGCAGAAGUUGCCUAGAUGAAUUUUCACUUGCAUUUUGUUUCUAAUGCCAUACUUUAGCACUACCAAGGUCUAGUCAUUUGAUUGAAGUU
Ricinus communis (castor bean) is the source of this 2252-nucleotide long non-coding RNA. RefSeq lists it as uncharacterized. The record is from RefSeq and is a predicted model, not a curated record. The transcript is spliced from 5 exons. NCBI's taxonomy places the organism in Eukaryota, Viridiplantae, Streptophyta, Magnoliopsida, Malpighiales, Euphorbiaceae.